This 420-nucleotide ribosomal RNA is filed under the name uncultured bacterium. RNAcentral's name for it is "bacterial SSU rRNA". It matches the Rfam family "Bacterial small subunit ribosomal RNA", at positions 356 to 773 of the family's 1533-position model. The record is from RNAcentral.
GAGGAAUAUUGGUCAAUGGGCGCAAGCCUGAACCAGCCAUCCCGCGUGAAGGAAGAAGGCGCUAUGCGUUGUAAACUUCUUUUCCAGGGGGAGAAUUUUCCGGUCGUGACCGGGAUUGACGGUACUCUGGGAAUAAGCAUCGGCUAACUCCGUGCCAGCAGCCGCGGUAAUACGGAGGAUGCGAGCGUUAUCCGGAUUUAUUGGGUUUAAAGGGUGCGUAGGCGGAUCAAUAAGUCAGUGGUGAAAUUCUGCAGCUUAACUGUAGACUUGCCAUUGAUACUGUUGGUCUUGAGUAUGGUCAAGGUAGGCGGAAUGUGUAAUGUAGCGGUGAAAUGCUUAGAUAUUACACAGAACACCGAUUGCGAAGGCAGCUUGCUGGGCCAAUACUGACGCUGAUGCACGAAAGCGUGGGGAUCGAAC